This 1812-nucleotide long non-coding RNA is filed under the name Taeniopygia guttata (zebra finch). RNAcentral's name for it is "lncRNA (ENSTGUG00000025024.1)". The record is from RNAcentral. Lineage: Eukaryota; Metazoa; Chordata; Aves; Passeriformes; Estrildidae.
AUGUCCCCAAAGUCCCCAAAUCCCCCAAUUGUCCCCAAAUCCCCCAAAUGUCCCCAAAUCCCCCAAUUGUCCCCAAAUCCCCCAAAUGUCCCAAAUGUCCCCAAAUCCCCCCAAAUCUCCCAAAAGUCCCCAAAUCCCCUCCAUGUCCCAAAUGUCCCCAAAUCCCCCCAAAUCUCCCAAAAUCCCCCAAUUGUCCCCAAAUAUCCCAAAUCCCCCAAAUGUCCCCAAUCCCCUCAAUGUCCCCAAUGUCCCCAAAUGUCCCCAAACGCCCCAAAUGUUCCCAAAUCCCCCAAAAUGUCCCCAAAUCCCCUCAAUGUCCCAAAUGUCCCCAAAGUCCCCAAAUCCCCCAAAGUCCCCAAAUUCCCCAAUUGUCCCCAAAUCCCCCAAAUAUUCCAAAUUCCCCAAAUGUCCCCAAAUCCCCCCAAAUAUCCCAAAUCCCCCAAAUGUCCCCAAACCCCCCAAAUGUCCCAAAGUCCCCAAAUCCCCUCAAUGUCCCAAAUGUCCCCAAAUCUCCCCAAUGUCCCCAAAUGUCCCAAAUCCCCCAAUUGUCCUCAAAUCCCCCAAAAUGUCCCCAAAUCCCCCAAAAUGUCCCCAAAUGUCUCAAAUCCCCUCAAUGUCCCAAAUUCCCCAAAUCCCCCAAAGUCCCCAAAUCACCUCAAUGUCCCAAAUAUCCCAAAUCCCCCAAUUGUCCCCAAAUCCCCCAAAUGUCCCCAAUCCCCUCAAUGUCCCCAAUGUCCCCAAAUCCCCCAAAUGUCCCCAAAUAUCCCCAAAUCCCCCAAAUGUCCCAAUUGUCCCCAAAUCCCCUCAAUGUCCCCAAAUCCCCCAAAUCCCCCAAACGUCCCCAAAUCCCCUCAAUGUCCCCAAAUCCCCCAAAUCCCCCAAACGUCCCCAAAUCCCCCAAAAUGUCCCCAAAUCCCCCAAAUCACCUCAAUGUCCCAAAUGUCCCCAAUGUCCCAAAUCCCCUCAAUGUCCCAAAUGUUAACAAAUGUCCCCCAAAUGUCCCCAAUGUCCCCAAAUCCCCCAAUAUUCCCAAAUCCCCCAAAUGUCCCCAAAUCCCCCAAAUGUCCCCAAAUCCCCCCAAAUAUCCCAAAUCCCCUCAAUGUCCCCAAUCCCCCAAAUGUCCCCAAAUCCCCCAAAUGUCCCCAAAUCCCCCAAAUGUCCCCUAAAUCCCCCAAAUGUCCCCAAUCCCCUCGAAGUCCCCAAUGUCCCCAAAUCCCCCAAAAUGUCCCCAAAUCCCCCAAAAUGUCCCCAAAUGUCCCAAAUGUCCCAAAUCCCCCAAAAUGUCCCCAAAUCCCCCAAAUGUCCCCAAUCCUCUCAAUGUCCCAAAUGUCCCCAAAUCCCCCAAACCCCCCGAAUCCCCCCAAAUGUCCCCAAAAUGCCCCCAAAAUCCCCCAAAUGUCCCCAAAUGUCCCCAAAUCCCCCAGAAUGUCCCCAAAAGGUGUCCCGGACCUGCCCUGUCCCCGUGGUGGCUCCUGCCACGCUUGGCCUUGGUGGCUUUGGUGUCCUUGGUGUCCUUGGUGUCCUUGGUGUCCUUGGUGUCCUUGGUGUCCUUGGUGGCCCCGGUGGCUUUUGUCCCCUUGGUCCCUUUGGUGUCCCGGGCGUCGCCGUCGGCCUCGUCCUCGCUGGAGCUGUGCUUGGGUUUGGGGGCUGAGAGACGAAAAGGGACAAAAUCCACCCAAAAAUCCAUCCCAAAGCCUAAAAAUCCACCACAAAAACCCAAAAUCCCAAAAAUCCAGCCCAAAAACCCAAAAAUCCACCCCAAAAAACCCAAAAUCCCAAAAAUCCAGCCCAAAAAACCCCAAAAUCCACUAA